This 760-nucleotide long non-coding RNA is filed under the name Equus caballus (horse). RNAcentral's name for it is "lncRNA (ENSECAG00000036509.3)". The record is from RNAcentral. Lineage: Eukaryota; Metazoa; Chordata; Mammalia; Perissodactyla; Equidae.
CUGGAGAGUUCUCACUUCUCACUGAGAUGUGCCCAGAGCCUAUCAGAUAACCCGGCAGGGUCACCCAUGUUGGACAGGUUUCAGAGGAGCUUGUAGACAAAGACAGACUAGGAAGAAGGACCUGGCCACUCACUUCUGAAAAAAUUGGCCAUGAAAACCCUAGGAAUAGCAGUGGAACAUUGUCUGAUAUAGUGCCAAAAGUCUUUCUCAGGGCUUCAGAAUUAUGGUGGCCACGAGGCCGAGAGCUUUAAACACUGCCAUACCUUGCAUGGAUAGCAGCACACUCUCCAAGUACCCACUACAUACAAGCUAAAAUCGUCAAACUGAUAAAGAACCGUUAAGUUGUUCUCCCAAUUGUUGGAUGGCAGAUAAUUCAUUUUGGCUUAAGAGCCUGGAGGAGAACUUGAAGAAGGAACCAAGGCAAUUCCUUUUCCACAAUGUUGUUCCACAAAAAUCUCUCAAGAUUGCACGUGGUUGAGAAGUCCCAGACAACAUUGGAAUUUUUCAAGGUUGACUCAGCAAACGAUCCCUGAUGGGGUUAGUCACUCAUUCUCUGACCAGAUCUCAUCCAGAUCAUCUUAACUAGAGAUACAGAGACGGGAUGAGAGAAGAUCUAAGCUAAAUCGCUGGUUUACCUACAGCAUUGAUCUCUUUCACCUUUGGUUGUAAGUAGACUGACAACCCUGAUCAAAUUCAAAUUGGUGUUCCUGUUUGAACUAUUCCUUCUUCAAGGGAAGCUUCUUAGUAAGCAGGGUGUGGG